AGAGUUUGAUCAUGGCUCAGGAUGAACGCUAGCGACAGGCUUAACACAUGCAAGUCGAGGGGAAACGACAUCGAAAGCUUGCUUUUGAUGGGCGUCGACCGGCGCACGGGUGAGUAACGCGUAUCCAACCUGCCCAUCACUUGGGGAUAACCUUGCGAAAGUAAGACUAAUACCCAAUGACGUCUCUAGAAGACAUCUGAAAGAGAUUAAAGAUUUAUCGGUGAUGGAUGGGGAUGCGUCUGAUUAGCUUGUUGGCGGGGUAACGGCCACCAAGGCGACGAUCAGUAGGGGUUCUGGAGAGGAAGGUCCCCCACAUUGGAACUGAGACACGGUCCAAACUCCUACGGGNGGCA
This 353-nucleotide ribosomal RNA is filed under the name uncultured bacterium. Its description in RNAcentral is "bacterial SSU rRNA". It matches the Rfam family "Bacterial small subunit ribosomal RNA", at positions 8 to 350 of the family's 1533-position model. The record is from RNAcentral.